Long non-coding RNA from Scaptodrosophila lebanonensis, 172 nucleotides. RefSeq lists it as uncharacterized. The transcript is spliced from 2 exons. The record is from RefSeq and is a predicted model, not a curated record. Lineage: Eukaryota; Metazoa; Arthropoda; Insecta; Diptera; Drosophilidae.
GGUCUACACCUAUUUUGCUGUUUGUUUUGGCUUAAGUGCGCGGUGUUGCCACAUUCUGUGCCUCGUAAUUAAUUGCAGGCCCUGAAUGGUCAAGAUAUGUAUCGCAUGUAAAAUGAAUAAACUUUGUAACCAUUAAAUAUAAAGAAUAUAUCACACAGAAAUGAUUAUAUAA